Long non-coding RNA from Olea europaea var. sylvestris, 381 nucleotides. RefSeq lists it as uncharacterized. The record is from RefSeq and is a predicted model, not a curated record. Lineage: Eukaryota; Viridiplantae; Streptophyta; Magnoliopsida; Lamiales; Oleaceae. The transcript has 2 exons.
UUCCUGCUUUGCUGUAGUUACGAUUACUUGUUUUUGGUUACAGGUUGAUGGACCUACAUACCAACUGCUUCUGAAGAAAGACAAGGCUCACGACAUGGAUGUAAAUUCUGUGAAGUGGAGUUCCAUGGAAAGCCGUCUUCUUGCCUCUGCAAGCGAUGAUGGGAUGAUCAAGAUAUGGGAAUUGGUGUCUUUACCUUGAUACAAUGAACUGCAAUUAUAAUUCCGUGGUUAACUAUAUUACUAUGUCGUGUUGGAGAGAUCAUCCUUGUAUUUUUCAGCCUCUUGAGAGGACAUUUAUCAAUGUUUUGAAGUUUGUACUAUAAUUGUUAGUUGACACUCGAGGAUGGCAAUGUUAAAACUGGUACAUAAUUUCUUACUGAA